UGGGUCAGGUGCCAGGGU
This 18-nucleotide unclassified non-coding RNA is filed under the name Chlamydomonas reinhardtii. Its description in RNAcentral is "small RNA Cre_3407". Lineage: Eukaryota; Viridiplantae; Chlorophyta; Chlorophyceae; Chlamydomonadales; Chlamydomonadaceae. The record is from RNAcentral.